UAAAAAAAAAGGAUCAACCAGUAUACUUCAAAUAAUAAAUGUAUUAAAAGCAGUUCGUAAACUAAUGUGACCAAAAGGAUAUAUAUCAAGUUUGAAAAAAAAGUGUCAUGUCCUUG
Arachis ipaensis is the source of this 116-nucleotide non-coding RNA. The record is from RefSeq and is a predicted model, not a curated record. Lineage: Eukaryota; Viridiplantae; Streptophyta; Magnoliopsida; Fabales; Fabaceae.